AAGAGGCAAUGAGUUCAGAAUAAACUGAACUAAGAAGGUGUCAUCCACUUUCAUUCCCAAGGUCCAAAGUCUUGCUACAAUAUUAGUCAUCCAUUGGUUUGAUUUGCAUAUUACGCGACCCGUCAAACUUCAUGGUCGUUAGUUCAGCCAUUAGUGUACCAGCGAGAGACUUAUCAGCAGAAUGAAAACGUUCUUCCACAAACUUCAGAUCCAAGUCAAGAUCCAUCACACCUAAGUGGAACUAGACUUGUUCAUGUCAUUCAGAGAACUUCAAUCUGUUGAAUAUAGUAACAGACGAAUCAUGUGAAUGAAGAGGAAUAAUUGCAAAUAGAUACAUACUCACAUAUCAAAAUAAUGUAAAUUCAGCAAAAACGAUAAAGUACAUCGUAAUUCUCCUUUGGGUAGAUAUUACGACACACUAUCAUGAUUUAGAUGUCAUUUUUUAAUCUUUAAUAGGCAAUUAAAUAAUUUUAAGCAACA
Solanum pennellii is the source of this 480-nucleotide long non-coding RNA. RefSeq lists it as uncharacterized. The record is from RefSeq and is a predicted model, not a curated record. Lineage: Eukaryota; Viridiplantae; Streptophyta; Magnoliopsida; Solanales; Solanaceae. The transcript is spliced from 2 exons.